This 468-nucleotide ribosomal RNA is filed under the name uncultured bacterium. Its description in RNAcentral is "partial 16S ribosomal RNA". It matches the Rfam family "Bacterial small subunit ribosomal RNA", at positions 28 to 507 of the family's 1533-position model. The record is from RNAcentral.
GAUGAACGCUGGCGGCGUGCUUAACACAUGCAAGUCGAACGGAAAGGCCAGUGCUUGCACUGGUACUCGAGUGGCGAACGGGUGAGUAACACGUGGGUGACCUGCCCUGCACUUCGGGAUAAGCCUGGGAAACUGGGUCUAAUACCGGAUAGGACAAUGGUUUGGAUGCCGUUGUGGAAAGUUUUUUCGGUGUGGGAUGAGCUCGCGGCCUAUCAGCUUGUUGGUGGGGUAAUGGCCUACCAGGGCGUCGACGGGUAGCCGGCCUGAGAGGGUGUACGGCCACAUUGGGACUGAGAUACGGCCCAGACUCCUACGGGAGGCAGCAGUGGGGAAUAUUGCACAAUGGGCGCAAGCCUGAUGCAGCGACGCCGCGUGGGGGAUGACGGCCUUCGGGUUGUAAACUCCUUUCGCUAGGGACGAAGCGUAUUUGUGACGGUACCUGGAGAAGAAGCACCGGCUAACUACGUG